ACCUCAAGAUGUGCUGCGAGCUGGCC
This 26-nucleotide non-coding RNA is filed under the name Homo sapiens (human). Lineage: Eukaryota; Metazoa; Chordata; Mammalia; Primates; Hominidae. The record is from RNAcentral.